CCUACGUGAGGCAGCAGUGGGGAAUAUUGGACAAUGGGCGAAAGCCUGAUCCAGCCAUGCCGCGUGUGUGAAGAAGGCCUUCGGGUUGUAAAGCACUUUCAGUGGGGAAGAAAGCCUUGGGGCUAAUACCCUCGAGGAAGGACAUCACCCACAGAAGAAGCACCGGCUAACUCCGUGCCAGCAGCCGCGGUAAUACGGAGGGUGCGAGCGUUAAUCGGAAUUACUGGGCGUAAAGCGCGCGUAGGCGGUCUGAUAAGCCGGUUGUGAAAGCCCCGGGCUCAACCUGGGAACGGCAUCCGGAACUGUCAGGCUAGAGUGCAGGAGAGGAAGGUAGAAUUCCCGGUGUAGCGGUGAAAUGCGUAGAGAUCGGGAGGAAUACCAGUGGCGAAGGCGGCCUUCUGGACUGACACUGACGCUGAGGUGCGAAAGCGUGGGUAGCAAACAGGAUUAGAUACCCGAGUAGUC
RNAcentral lists this ribosomal RNA (465 nucleotides) under Vreelandella stevensii. Its description in RNAcentral is "partial 16S ribosomal RNA". It matches the Rfam family "Bacterial small subunit ribosomal RNA", at positions 338 to 795 of the family's 1533-position model. Lineage: Bacteria; Pseudomonadati; Pseudomonadota; Gammaproteobacteria; Oceanospirillales; Halomonadaceae. The record is from RNAcentral.